UUGGGGAAGCAGGCAGGUUGGGGAUGAAGAGUUAACAGCUAUAACCCAGAUCAGAUGAAGAAAGCGACACCUCACUGUUCAGCCAAGUGCUUCCUCCUUCUUCCUUGGGAUCUGCCUGCCUUCCAGCCUUCCUCCAAGGCUUCUCCUUGCCUCUCCUAUUGGCUGUCUCACUCUGAGGCAGGAAGAGAAAUCUGGUCGGUGGCUGACUUAGCUCCCUGGGUCCCUGAGACUGAGAUGGGACAGAGCCUACAAAUGAUGCUCAGGUGGUUCCAGCUGCUGAGUGGGCAGCAGGUCGGGAGCAGGAGCUUGCUGGGAACUUUGCCCAAGGUGCCUUCUCUGGUCCUGACUCCAUUUCCUGUUCUGCAUCCACCUCCACGGCUGUCAUUUAUUCCCUAA
Molecule: long non-coding RNA, 396 nt
Filed under: Bos grunniens (domestic yak)
Lineage: Eukaryota; Metazoa; Chordata; Mammalia; Artiodactyla; Bovidae
Description: lncRNA (ENSBGRG00000020417.1)
Source: RNAcentral